GACGAACGCUGGCGGCGUGCUUAACACAUGCAAGUCGAACGGAAAGGCUCCAGCUUGCUGGAGUACUCGAGUUGCGAACGGGUGAGUAACACGUGGGUAAUCUGCCCUGCACUCUGGGAUAAGCCUGGGAAGCUGGGUCUAAUACGGGAUAUGACCUUUCUCCUUAUGGGGUUUGGUGGAAAGUUUUUCGGUUUAGGAUGAGCCCGCGGCCUAUCAGCUUGUUGGUGGGGUGAUGGAUUACCAAGGCGACGACGGGUAGCCGGCCUGAGAGGGUGAUCGGCCACAUUGGGACUGAGAUACGGCCCAGACUCCUACGGGAGGGAGCAGUGGGGAAUAUUGCACAAUGGGCGGAAGCCUGAUGCAGCGAAGCCGCGUGAGGGAUGACGGCAUUCGGGUUGUAAACCUCUUUCAGCAGGGACGAAGCGUAAGUGACGGUACCUGCAGAAGAAGCACCGGCUAACUCCGUG
This 467-nucleotide ribosomal RNA is filed under the name uncultured bacterium. Its description in RNAcentral is "partial 16S ribosomal RNA". It matches the Rfam family "Bacterial small subunit ribosomal RNA", at positions 28 to 507 of the family's 1533-position model. The record is from RNAcentral.